AUGACUCUCGGCAACGGAUAUCUCGGCUCUUACAUCGAUGAAGAACGUAGCAAAAUGCGAUACUUGGUGUGAAUUGCAGAAUCCCGUGAACCAUCGAGUCUUUGAACGCAAGUUGCGCCCGAAUCCCUUGGGUUAAGGGCACGUCUGCCUGGGCGUCACG
RNAcentral lists this ribosomal RNA (160 nucleotides) under Saxifraga balfourii. Its description in RNAcentral is "5.8S ribosomal RNA". It matches the Rfam family "5.8S ribosomal RNA". Rfam says of the family: 5.8S ribosomal RNA (5.8S rRNA) is a component of the large subunit of the eukaryotic ribosome. It is transcribed by RNA polymerase I as part of the 45S precursor that also contains 18S and 28S rRNA. Functionally, it is thought that 5.8S rRNA may be involved in ribosome translocation. Lineage: Eukaryota; Viridiplantae; Streptophyta; Magnoliopsida; Saxifragales; Saxifragaceae. RNAcentral also lists the same sequence under 2 other names. The record is from RNAcentral.